This is a long non-coding RNA of Haliotis rubra (blacklip abalone), 175 nucleotides long. RefSeq lists it as uncharacterized. The transcript is spliced from 3 exons. The record is from RefSeq and is a predicted model, not a curated record. Lineage: Eukaryota; Metazoa; Mollusca; Gastropoda; Lepetellida; Haliotidae.
CUUGGUGAUGCAGGCACCUAUAGGCUCACGAUCAACGGAGUUAGCACGGAUGCACAAGUCUUUGUGCAGGGAAAUUCAAAUACUGGAUCAAGCGCAGUCUGCCGCGACAAUAUUGAUGUGUUCCUGGCUAUCGAUGGAUCAAACAGCAUCAACCCCGACCCCUUCGAGUUCGAGC